GUGCCAGCCGCCGCGGUAAAACGUAGGAGGCAAGCGUUAUCCGGAAUUACUGGGCGUAAAGGGCGUCUAGGCGGUCGGUCAAGCGCGGUGUGAAAGCUCCUGGCUCAACUGGGAGAGUGCGCUGCGAACUGGCGGACUAGAGGGCAGGCGACGGCGGUGGAAUUCCCGGUGGAGUGGUGAAAUGCGUAGAUAUCGGGAGGAACACCAGUGGCGAAGGCGGCCGCCGAGCCUGCCCCUGACGCUGAAGCGCGACAGCGUGGGGAGCAAACGGGAUUAGAAACCCCGGUAGUCC
This 292-nucleotide ribosomal RNA is filed under the name uncultured bacterium. RNAcentral's name for it is "partial 16S ribosomal RNA". It matches the Rfam family "Bacterial small subunit ribosomal RNA", at positions 505 to 796 of the family's 1533-position model. The record is from RNAcentral.